RNAcentral lists this ribosomal RNA (909 nucleotides) under Klebsiella quasipneumoniae subsp. similipneumoniae. RNAcentral's name for it is "bacterial SSU rRNA". It matches the Rfam family "Bacterial small subunit ribosomal RNA", at positions 62 to 957 of the family's 1533-position model. Lineage: Bacteria; Pseudomonadati; Pseudomonadota; Gammaproteobacteria; Enterobacterales; Enterobacteriaceae. The record is from RNAcentral.
UCGCAGCGGUAGCACAGAGAGCUUGCUCUCGGGUGACGAGCGGCGGACGGGUGAGUAAUGUCUGGGAAACUGCCUGAUGGAGGGGGAUAACUACUGGAAACGGUAGCUAAUACCGCAUAACGUCGCAAGACCAAAGUGGGGGACCUUCGGGCCUCAUGCCAUCAGAUGUGCCCAGAUGGGAUUAGCUAGUAGGUGGGGUAACGGCUCACCUAGGCGACGAUCCCUAGCUGGUCUGAGAGGAUGACCAGCCACACUGGAACUGAGACACGGUCCAGACUCCUACGGGAGGCAGCAGUGGGGAAUAUUGCACAAUGGGCGCAAGCCUGAUGCAGCCAUGCCGCGUGUGUGAAGAAGGCCUUCGGGUUGUAAAGCACUUUCAGCGGGGAGGAAGGCGGUAAGGUUAAUAACCUUGUCGAUUGACGUUACCCGCAAAAGAAGCACCGGCUAACUCCGUGCCAGCAGCCGCGGUAAUACGGAGGGUGCAAGCGUUAAUCGGAAUUACUGGGCGUAAAGCGCACGCAGGCGGUCUGUCAAGUCGGAUGUGAAAUCCCCGGGCUCAACCUGGGAACUGCAUUCGAAACUGGCAGGCUAGAGUCUUGUAGAGGGGGGUAGAAUUCCAGGUGUAGCGGUGAAAUGCGUAGAGAUCUGGAGGAAUACCGGUGGCGAAGGCGGCCCCCUGGACAAAGACUGACGCUCAGGUGCGAAAGCGUGGGGGAGCAAACAGGAUUAGAUACCCUGGUAGUCCACGCCGUAAACGAUGUCGAUUUGGAGGUUGUGCCCUUGAGGCGUGGCUUCCGGAGCUAACGCGUUAAAUCGACCGCCUGGGGGAGUACGGCCGCAAGGUUAAAACUCAAAUGAAUUGACGGGGGGCCCGCACAAGCGGGGGGAGCAUGUGGUUUAAUUCGAUGC